This 524-nucleotide ribosomal RNA is filed under the name Ornithodoros tholozani. RNAcentral describes it as "SSU rRNA". It matches the Rfam family "Eukaryotic small subunit ribosomal RNA", at positions 828 to 1350 of the family's 1831-position model. Lineage: Eukaryota; Metazoa; Arthropoda; Arachnida; Ixodida; Argasidae. The record is from RNAcentral.
UCCCGUUUCUGUUCUGUUGGUUUUUGGAAAACGAGAUAAUGAUCGAGAGGGACAGACGGGGGCAUUCGUAUUGCGGCGCUAGAGGUGAAAUUCUUGGACCGUCGCAAGACGAACUACUGCGAAAGCAUUUGCCAAGAAUGUUUUCAUUGAUCAAGAACGAAAGUCAGAGGUUCGAAGGCGAUCAGAUACCGCCCUAGUUCUGACCAUAAACGAUGCCAACCAGCAAUCCGCCUGAGUUACUCAAAUGACUCGGCGGGCAGCUUCCGGGAAACCAAAGUAUUUGGGUUCCGGGGGAAGUAUGGUUGCAAAGCUGAAACUUAAAGGAAUUGACGGAAGGGCACCACCAGGAGUGGAGCCUGCGGCUUAAUUUGACUCAACACGGGAAAACUUACCCGGCCCGGACACNGGAAGGAUUGACAGAUUGAGAGCUCUUUCUUGAUUCGGUGGAUGGUGGUGCAUGGCCGUUCUUAGUUGGUGGAGCGAUUUGUCUGGUUAAUUCCGAUAACGAACGAGACUCCAGCCUA